RNAcentral lists this ribosomal RNA (253 nucleotides) under uncultured bacterium. Its description in RNAcentral is "partial 16S ribosomal RNA". It matches the Rfam family "Bacterial small subunit ribosomal RNA", at positions 524 to 776 of the family's 1533-position model. The record is from RNAcentral.
UACGUAGGGUGCGAGCGUUAAUCGGAAUUACUGGGCGUAAAGCGUGCGCAGGCGGUUGUGUAAGUCAGAUGUGAAAUCCCCGGGCUCAACCUGGGAACUGCAUUUGAGACUGCACGGCUAGAGUGUGACAGAGGGGGGUAGAAUUCCACGUGUAGCAGUGAAAUGCGUAGAGAUGUGGAGGAAUACCGAUGGCGAAGGCAGCCCCCUGGGUUACUACUGACGCUCAUGCACGAAAGCGUGGGGAGCAAACAGG